Molecule: long non-coding RNA, 876 nt
Organism: Humulus lupulus (European hop)
Lineage: Eukaryota; Viridiplantae; Streptophyta; Magnoliopsida; Rosales; Cannabaceae
Exons: 2
Source: RefSeq, a predicted model, not a curated record
ACAUUGUCUCUCUCUACUUUUCCAUCACCAACCCUUGAAGCUUUUGUUCUUCAUUGAUCUCAUUGGCUUGUGUCUGUGCAAGUGAUGAGGGAGGUUAGAUCUAUCGUCGACUAUGGGGAAAGGUUCUCUUUUUUUUAUGGUUCAGAUAUGAAGGUAGUGCGAUGGGGAGUUUUGUUUCUUGAGGUGUAGCAGAGGGUGGUUCAGAUCUGGUGUAGGGCAGCAGGUUUGGUGGUCUAUGGAUUCUCAAGAGGUCAUACAACGAGGCAACGACAAGGCUAGGAUUCGAGCUCGUCAGCUGACUCAAGCUCCAGUGCUCUGUAGUCUUCUCUUGGAAAUGCAGUUUUCACCUCAGUUAUUCAUGGUUUCUCCAAGGUUGGGGAUGUGGGAGAGGCAAUGGACAUGGUUAUUCCUAUAUAAGAUUGAAGUAGAGUAUUGUAGAGAAGGUCAUGUUUAUAAUUAUAUUUAUAGUGUUUAGAAGAAGAGGCGUGCUAUUGUUAGUGUUGUUGCUUUACAUUUUGGGAAUGUUGUUGUAUAUGGGCAUAGUGAGCUUUGAUGUCGUUAGCUUGAAAAAUGGUGUUGUUGUAGUUCAGGUCUUUGAGAUGCUUUGGCAUUUCAUGGAAGUUGAAAGCAAUGGAACUGAAAAUGUGUUACUUUUUCUGGCUUUACAUAGGUUCAAUUUUUGGUUUAUAUUUGGAGGCAUUUUUUGUGCUUGAAAUUUGAAUUCUAUGUUACUAUUGAAAAGCUGAAGAAAGAGUGUUUAUGGGAUUUUGAUUUUUUUUUUAAUUAGCUAGGUUUGUUUUAUUUUUAAUCUAACUUUUAUUUAGUUUUUGUUUAAUAUUCAAAUCAGAUUUUUGUUUAUAUGUAAUUUUAUUUUUU